RNAcentral lists this unclassified non-coding RNA (289 nucleotides) under Hevea brasiliensis (rubber tree). The record is from RNAcentral. Lineage: Eukaryota; Viridiplantae; Streptophyta; Magnoliopsida; Malpighiales; Euphorbiaceae.
GUCACCUCCUGUGAAAUAAUCAACACAAUUCACUCCUUUCUGAUGGGCAUCUAAUGUAAAAUUAGGAUCAGGUGAUCCAAGGUUCCAAAUCUUUAUUGUCCGAUCAAGGGAUGCACUAGCAAAGGUGUUGGUGUCUUUGGGAUUAAAUGUUACUUGCAUCACAUAAUGAGAAUGCCCCUCAAAAAUCUGAGUACACACCCAACCCUUAUCCCAAUCCCAAAGUUUUAUAAGCAUAUCAUCAGAUGAAGACAGUACAUAAGGAAGGUUAGGAUGAACAGCCACACAUCUG